GCCUUUGUGGUGUAGUGGUUAGCACGCUCGACGCGUAUUCGAGAGAUCGGUGGUUCGAGUCCCGGUGAGAGCA
This 73-nucleotide transfer RNA is filed under the name Stegodyphus mimosarum. It matches the Rfam family "tRNA". Rfam says of the family: Transfer RNA (tRNA) molecules are approximately 80 nucleotides in length. Lineage: Eukaryota; Metazoa; Arthropoda; Arachnida; Araneae; Eresidae. The record is from Rfam by way of RNAcentral.